UUGCUAUCUGCGAUAUGGAAGAUUCGAACCUGCCGCAGGUUCGGGUCUCACGUAGUGAGACAACGGAGCCGCUUGCGGCGACGGCCCGAAGGGCGAGCAAAGCGAGUCAUCCUGCACGAUCCACCA
This 126-nucleotide small RNA is filed under the name Salmonella enterica. RNAcentral describes it as "RtT sRNA". It matches the Rfam family "RtT RNA". From Rfam's summary of the family: This family represents a bacterial cis-regulatory element known as RtT RNA. Lineage: Bacteria; Pseudomonadati; Pseudomonadota; Gammaproteobacteria; Enterobacterales; Enterobacteriaceae. The record is from RNAcentral.